CAGUGAUUGCAUUUUCAGCAAUACUGAAUUUGAGCAAAAUGGUGACGCGCUUCCUAUGUCGGAAAUAGCUUCAGACAAAGCACUUGUGUAAGGGUGGAGCCUGCUGACAGGACUGAACUGCCAAGUUUGAGUUCGAGUUUGAUCUGUGCCCAGAUAAAAGACUGCCUGCGUUGUCACUGAGCUUCGGCUCCAGAAAAAUGGGCAAGAUUCUGGAAACAUCAUUUUUAGUGCUAGGCCUUCACCUAACCUGGGUGAGUGGCCAACAGAAGGACAGAAGUGACCAGCAGCAGGUGACGCAAAGUCCUCAGUCUCUGACAGUCCAGGAAGGAGGGACUCCAGUUCUGAACUGCACUUAUGAGAACAGCGCAUUUGGCUACUUCCCGUGGUACCGGCAAUUCCCCGGGAAAGGCCCUGAACUACUGAUAGCCAUACGUUCAGUUCUGAAUAAAAAUGAAGAUGGGCGCUUCACGGUCUUCUUCAGUAAAAGUGAGAAGCAGCUCUCCCUGCACAUCACAGCCUCUCAGCCUGCAGACUCGGCCACCUACUUCUGUGCGGCAGGAACACAGUGCUCCCCAGGCGCCUGCAGUCAGCACACAAACCUGCACCUGAGGCUCCAGCAAAACCCUGCUGCGGGCUGA
Non-coding RNA from Nannospalax galili (Upper Galilee mountains blind mole rat), 638 nucleotides. The record is from the annotation of a RefSeq genome assembly. NCBI's taxonomy places the organism in Eukaryota, Metazoa, Chordata, Mammalia, Rodentia, Spalacidae.